CAUGACUGAGAAAGAACCUAUCUGCCAGCCUUCACUAUUAAGUGCCAUCUACUGGAUCACAGUCCAAAUUACAAUGCCAAAAAUAUUUUGCCAGUACACAGUGUCUCUGAAACCCUAGGCAAAAAUCCAGCCACAAAUAAAGAUCCUAUAUAGAGUCUUGCACUCUGAAAGUACCUAGAAAUGAAGCCAACUGACUAUAUUUAUCUUACAUCACAGUUAUUAGAAAUCUAGGGGAAAUGGAUAAAUUCUUGAAAACAUACAACCUUCAAAGAUUGAACAAGAGAGAAAGUGAAAACAUGAACAGAACAAUAACAUACUCCCAUUCAACAUAGUACUGGAAGUCCUAGUCAGAGCAAUCAAGCAAGAUAAAGAAAUAAAAGGCAUCCAAGUAGGAAAAGAAGUCAUCAAACUAUCUCUGUUCACUGACAACAUGAUUCUAUACUUGGAAAACUCUGAAUACUCCAUCAAAAGAGUCCUAGAACUGACAAACAACUUUAAUAAAG
RNAcentral lists this long non-coding RNA (503 nucleotides) under Pan troglodytes (chimpanzee). RNAcentral's name for it is "long non-coding RNA NONPTRT014982". Lineage: Eukaryota; Metazoa; Chordata; Mammalia; Primates; Hominidae. The record is from RNAcentral.